GAUGAACGCUGGCGGCGUGCGUAACCCAUGCAAGUCGAACGAGCAGAUUUCCUUCGGGGAAGAAGCGAGUGGCGGACGGGUGAGUAACGCGUGAACAACCAACCCUAUACAGGGGGACAACAGCUGGAAACGGCUGCUAAUACCGCAUAAGACCACAAGGCCGCAUGACCAAGGGGUCAAAGGAGCAAUCCGGUAUAGGACGGGUUCGCGUCCCAUUAGCUAGUAGGCGGGGUAAAGGCCCACCUAGGCAACGAUGGGUAGCCGAGCUGAGAGGCUGAACGGCCACACUGGGACUGAGAUACGGCCCAGACUCCUACGGGAGGCAGCAGGGGGGAAUAUUGGGCAAUGGGGGAAACCCUGACCCAGCAACGCCGCGUGAAGGAAGAAGGCCUUCGGGUUGUAAACUUCUGUGACAGGGGACGAAGGAAGUGACGGUACCCU
RNAcentral lists this ribosomal RNA (441 nucleotides) under uncultured bacterium. RNAcentral describes it as "bacterial SSU rRNA". It matches the Rfam family "Bacterial small subunit ribosomal RNA", at positions 28 to 481 of the family's 1533-position model. The record is from RNAcentral.